Molecule: non-coding RNA, 363 nt
Organism: Kangiella geojedonensis
Lineage: Bacteria; Pseudomonadati; Pseudomonadota; Gammaproteobacteria; Kangiellales; Kangiellaceae
Rfam family: Bacterial RNase P class A
About the family: Ribonuclease P (RNase P) is a ubiquitous endoribonuclease, found in archaea, bacteria and eukarya as well as chloroplasts and mitochondria.
Source: Rfam
AAAGCUGGCCAGACAGUCGCUGCCUAUGACUUCAUAGGGAGAGGAAAGUCCGGACUUCACAGAGCAGGGUGCCAGGUAACGCCUGGGCGGCGCAAGCCGACGGCAAGUGCAGCAGAAAGAAGACCGCCGAUGGUUCUUAGUUCGCUAAGUUCACAGGUAAGGGCGAAAGGGUGCGGUAAGAGCGCACCGCGCUACUGGUAACAGCUAGCGGCGAGGUAAACCCCACCCGAAGCAAGACCAAAUAGGGUUCCGUACGGCGUUGCUCGCGUUGGAACCGGGUAGGUUGCUGGAGCCAUCGAGUGAUUGAUGGCCUAGACGAAUGACUGUCCACGACAGAAUCCGGCUUAUCGGCCAGCUUUUCUU